RNAcentral lists this ribosomal RNA (604 nucleotides) under uncultured bacterium. RNAcentral's name for it is "bacterial SSU rRNA". It matches the Rfam family "Bacterial small subunit ribosomal RNA", at positions 8 to 609 of the family's 1533-position model. The record is from RNAcentral.
AGAGUUUGAUCAUGGCUCAGAUUGAACGCUGGCGGCAUGCCUUACACAUGCAAGUCGAACGGUAACGCGGGGCAACCUGGCGACGAGUGGCGAACGGGUGAGUAAUACAUCGGAACGUGCCCAGUAGUGGGGGAUAGCCCGGCGAAAGCCGGAUUAAUACCGCAUACGACCUACGGGUGAAAGCAGGGGAUCGCAAGACCUUGCGCUAUUGGAGCGGCCGAUGUCAGAUUAGGUUGUUGGUGGGGUAAAAGCCCACCAAGCCGACGAUCUGUAGCUGGUCUGAGAGGACGACCAGCCACACUGGGACUGAGACACGGCCCAGACUCCUACGGGAGGCAGCAGUGGGGAAUUUUGGACAAUGGGCGCAAGCCUGAUCCAGCCAUGCCGCGUGCGGGAAGAAGGCCUUCGGGUUGUAAACCGCUUUUGUCAGGGAAGAAACGCUCUGGGCUAAUACCCCGGGGUAAUGACGGUACCUGAAGAAUAAGCACCGGCUAACUACGUGCCAGCAGCCGCGGUAAUACGUAGGGUGCAAGCGUUAAUCGGAAUUACUGGGCGUAAAGCGUGCGCAGGCGGUUUUGUAAGACAGAGGUGAAAUCCCCGGGCU